GCCCGGAGAUGGGGGCUGAGACACGGCCCCAGGCCCUACGGGGCGCAGCAGGCGCGAAAACUCCGCAAUACGCGCAAGCGUGACGGGGGAACCCCAAGUGCCUCAUCUUUUUGGUGAGGCUUUUUCAGAGUGUAAACAGCUCUGAGAAUAAAAGCGGGGUAAGACCGGUGCCAGCCGCCGCGGUAACACCGGCCGCUCAAGUGGUGACCGCUAUUAUUGGGCCUAAAGCGUCCGUAGCCGGUUCGGUAAGUCCCUGGGUAAAUCCUGCCGUUUAACGGUAGGAAUUCUGGGGAUACUGCCGGACUCGGGGUCGAGAGAAGUCGGAGGUACUCCGGGGGUAGCGGUGAAAUGCUGUAAUCCUCGGGGGACCACCAGUGGCGAAGGCGUCCGACUAGAGCGGGCCCGACGGUGAGGGACGAAAGCCAGGGGAGCGAACGGGAUUAGAUACCCCGGUAGUCCUGGCCGUAAACGCUGUGGGCUAGGUGUUGCAUGCUCUACGAGGGCAUGCAGUGCCGUAGAGAAGUUGAUAAGCCUACCGCCUGG
This 543-nucleotide ribosomal RNA is filed under the name uncultured archaeon. RNAcentral describes it as "bacterial SSU rRNA". It matches the Rfam family "Archaeal small subunit ribosomal RNA", at positions 288 to 831 of the family's 1478-position model. The record is from RNAcentral.